AGAGUUUGAUCAUGGCUCAGGACGAACGCUGGCGGCGUGCUUAACACAUGCAAGUCGAGCGGUAAGGCCCUUUGGGGUACACGAGCGGCGAACGGGUGAGUAACACGUGGGUGACCUGCCCCCUACUCUGGGAUAAGCCUGGGAAACUGGGUCUAAUACCGGAUAUGACACAGUCUCGCAUGGGGUUGUGUGGAAAGUUUGUUCUUAAUUGGACAGUUCGGUGGGGGAUGGGCCCGCGGCCUAUCAGCUUGUUGGUGGGGUGAUGGCCUACCAAGGCGACGACGGGUAGCCGGCCUGAGAGGGCGACCGGCCACACUGGGACUGAGACACGGCCCAGACUCCUACGGGAGGCAGCAGUGGGGAAUAUUGCGCAAUGGGCGGAAGCCUGACGCAGCGACGCCGCGUGGGGGAUGACGGCCUUCGGGUUGUAAACCUCUUUCGGCCCCGACGAAGCGUGAGUGACGGUAGGGGUAGAAGAAGCACCGGCCAACUACGUGCCAGCAGCCGCGGUAAUACGUAGGGUGCGAGCGUUGUCCGGAAUUAUUGGGCGUAAAGAGCUCGUAGGCGGUGUGUCGCGUCGGCCGUGAAAACCUGCAGCUUAACUGUGGGCUUGCGGUCGAUACGGGCAUCACUGGAGUUCGGCAGGGGAGACUGGAAUUCCUGGUGUAGCGGUGAAAUGCGCAGAUAUCAGGAGGAACACCGGUGGCGAAGGCGGGUCUCUGGGCCGAUACUGACGCUGAGGAGCGAAAGCGUGGGGAGCGAACAGGAUUAGAUACCCUAGUAGUCC
RNAcentral lists this ribosomal RNA (787 nucleotides) under uncultured bacterium. Its description in RNAcentral is "bacterial SSU rRNA". It matches the Rfam family "Bacterial small subunit ribosomal RNA", at positions 8 to 796 of the family's 1533-position model. The record is from RNAcentral.